This is a long non-coding RNA of Papaver somniferum (opium poppy), 616 nucleotides long. RefSeq lists it as uncharacterized. The record is from RefSeq and is a predicted model, not a curated record. NCBI's taxonomy places the organism in Eukaryota, Viridiplantae, Streptophyta, Magnoliopsida, Ranunculales, Papaveraceae. The transcript is spliced from 3 exons.
AACAGAUUUGAAUUGCAAGAUCCAGUUCUUGACUGUUUGAACUCGAGCAUCCAGUGCAUGUUGUCUUAGAGUAUUAGCUUAACUGAUACAAGGGUUCAUGUUCGCCCAGAAGAGAGGAUGGUUGAUGCUCAUGCUGUGGAAGAUGAUGUAGAUUUAGAGGGAAAUCAAGUUUGACUUUGAGGAUUCUAUCUGUUUAAUGUCAUAAGCCAAAUACAAGUUGGUUAACUUAAUCGAAACACCAAACUGUUGUUUAAGGAACAGGAUAGCUGAGGGAAAAUGUACAUGUGUGUCUUGUUAAUCAUCUAAAGCUGGGUCGUAACUGUCUCAGUGUUCUUAAAUGGUGUUUCAACCUCCUAGUGGUUGGCGAGGGUGAACUGCUUAUUGCAGUCUAGUGUAUUUCUUGUAUGUAACCAUCUAAUUAAGCUAUCACUCUAAUUGAAUUAAGCUUUAGUUAUGUAUCAUAUGUGCUAGCCACCUAAACUUGUUGUGAGGAACAUAUCAGAGACUACUUCAAUAAUGUACUUUACUUUUCAAGCUUCCAAUUAUCCCUUGAUCAGGUUCUAACUAGACUCCAGUGGCGGCAAUCUUGGCUACUUUUAUAAAUGGAUGCAAAUGC